GACGAACGCUGGCGGCGUGCUUAAUACAUGCAAGUGGAGCGACGAACCAGGCUUCGGCCUGGGGCAGAGCCGCGAACGGGUGAGUAACACGUGGGUAACCUGCCUCGAUGACCGGGACAACCCGGGGAAACCCGGGCUAAUACCGGAUGUGCUGUCCCCACAUCAGUGGAGACAGGAAAGGAAGCUUCGGCCUCCGCAUCGAGAUGGGCCCGCGGCCCAUUAGCUUGUUGGUGUGGAACGGCUCACCAAGGCUGCGAUGGGUAGCUGGUCUGAGAGGACGAUCAGCCACACUGGGACUGAGACACGGCCCAGACUCCUACGGGAGGCAGCAGUAGGGAAUCUUGCGCAAUGCGCGAAAGCGUGACGCAGCAACGCCGCGUGGGGGAAGAAGGCCUUCGG
RNAcentral lists this ribosomal RNA (399 nucleotides) under uncultured bacterium. RNAcentral describes it as "bacterial SSU rRNA". It matches the Rfam family "Bacterial small subunit ribosomal RNA", at positions 28 to 421 of the family's 1533-position model. The record is from RNAcentral.